GUGGGGAAUAUUGGGCAAUGGGGGCAACCCUGACCCAGCGACGCCGCGUGAGGGAAGAAGGCCUUAGGGUCGUAAACCUCUGUUGUGUGGGAAGAAGGAAGUGACGGUACCACACGAGGAAGUCCCGGCUAACUACGUGUCAGCAGCCGCGGUAAUACGUAGGGGACGAGCGUUGUCCGGAAUUACUGGGCGUAAAGGGCGCGUAGGCGGUCAUUUAAGUCAGCUGUGAAAUGGUCCGGCUCAACCGGAUCAUGCGGUUGAAACUGGAUGACUGGAGUGCUGGAGAGGCAAGUGGAAUUCCCAGUGUAGCGGUGAAAUGCGUAGAUAUUGGGAAGAACACCGGUGGCGAAGGCGACUUGCUGGCCAGCAACUGACGCUGAGGCGCGAAAGCCAGGGGAGCAAACGGGAUUAGAAACCCGGGUAGUCC
Molecule: ribosomal RNA, 427 nt
Filed under: uncultured bacterium
Lineage: Bacteria
Description: partial 16S ribosomal RNA
Rfam family: Bacterial small subunit ribosomal RNA
Source: RNAcentral